This 468-nucleotide ribosomal RNA is filed under the name uncultured bacterium. Its description in RNAcentral is "partial 16S ribosomal RNA". It matches the Rfam family "Bacterial small subunit ribosomal RNA", at positions 28 to 507 of the family's 1533-position model. The record is from RNAcentral.
GACGAACGCUGGCGGCGUGCUUAACACAUGCAAGUCGAACGGAAAGGCCUUGCUUUUGUGGGGUGCUCGAGUGGCGAACGGGUGAGUAACACGUGAGUAACCUGCCCUUGACUUUGGGAUAACUUCAGGAAACUGGGGCUAAUACCGGAUAGGAGCUCCUGCUGCAUGGUGGGGGUUGGAAAGUUUCGGCGGUUGGGGAUGGACUCGCGGCUUAUCAGCUUGUUGGUGGGGUAGUGGCUUACCAAGGCUUUGACGGGUAGCCGGCCUGAGAGGGUGACCGGCCACAUUGGGACUGAGAUACGGCCCAGCCUCCUACGGGAGGCAGCAGUGGGGAAUAUUGCACAAUGGGCGGAAGCCUGAUGCAGCAACGCCGCGUGCGGGAUGACGGCCUUCGGGUUGUAAACCGCUUUCGCCUGUGACGAAGCGUGAGUGACGGUAAUGGGUAAAGAAGCACCGGCUAACUACGUG